GAUCCAGUCUCGGAAGAGCGCCACUCGGGUGAAGAAGUCAGGGCCUCGGCCACAGGGCCCCAGGGAAAAGGAGGCCACGCCGUGGGCCAGGCCCUCGCAGACGAGGGGGGUGCCCCCGUCCCCCUGGGCAGGCAGCAGCUGUGUCAGGGCGUCCCAGGGCCUGGCUCCCACGCCACCCCAGAACUGCAGAGGCCUCUUGCUGCCCCUGGAACCUACAAGUCCUGAUCCAGCCCCAGGGCCUUUGCAUGGCUCUUCUCUUUCUCUGCCCUGGUUAACUGCUAGUGGACUUUGGGAUCAGUUGCUUUCUGGAGCUUCCUGGCACCUCCAGCCUGCACUUGCUUUCUCCUGCCACGGAGAGCUCAGUACCUCUCAGGACCCCUCCUCCCGCCACAGGGAGCACUCACAUUGCAGAUGCCACCG
This 420-nucleotide long non-coding RNA is filed under the name Homo sapiens (human). RNAcentral's name for it is "non-protein coding lnc-PLPPR3-3:1". Lineage: Eukaryota; Metazoa; Chordata; Mammalia; Primates; Hominidae. The record is from RNAcentral.